GACCUCAAAUCAGGUAGGACUACCCGCUGAACUUAAGCAUAUCAAUAAGCGGAGGAAAAGAAACUAACAAGGAUUCCCCUAGUAACUGCGAGUGAAGCGGGAAAAGCUCAAAUUUAAAA
This 119-nucleotide ribosomal RNA is filed under the name Cortinarius cf. multiformis/pseudorugulosus DBB00242. Its description in RNAcentral is "partial 28S ribosomal RNA". It matches the Rfam family "Eukaryotic large subunit ribosomal RNA", at positions 1 to 120 of the family's 3401-position model. Lineage: Eukaryota; Fungi; Basidiomycota; Agaricomycetes; Agaricales; Cortinariaceae. The record is from RNAcentral.